AUUGAACGCUGGCGGCAUGCCUUACACAUGCAAGUCGAACGGUAACGGGCCUUCGGGUGCCGACGAGUGGCGAACGGGUGAGUAAUACAUCGGAACGUGCCCGAUCGUGGGGGUUAACGAGGCGAAAGCUUUGCUAAUACCGCAUACGAUCUACGGAUGAAAGCAGGGGACCGCAAGGCCUUGCGCGGACGGAGCGGCCGAUGGCAGAUUAGGUAGUUGGUGGGAUAAAAGCUUACCAAGCCGACGAUCUGUAGCUGGUCUGAGAGGAUGAUCAGCCACACUGGGACUGAGACACGGCCCAGACUCCUAAGGGAGGCAGCAGUGGGGAAUUUUGGACAAUGGGCGCAAGCCUGAUCCAGCCAUGCCGCGUGCAGGAUGAAGGCCUUCGGGUUGUAAACUGCUUUUGUACGGAACGAAAAGCCUUCUUUUAAUACAGGAGGGUCAUGACGGUACCGUAAGAAUAAGCACCGGCUAACUACGUG
RNAcentral lists this ribosomal RNA (482 nucleotides) under uncultured bacterium. RNAcentral's name for it is "partial 16S ribosomal RNA". It matches the Rfam family "Bacterial small subunit ribosomal RNA", at positions 30 to 507 of the family's 1533-position model. The record is from RNAcentral.